GCGAGAGUGGUGAAACUGGUAGACACGCCAGCCUUAGGAGCUGGUGCGCAAGCAUAAGGGUUCGAGUCCCUUCUCUCGCA
This 80-nucleotide transfer RNA is filed under the name Spirochaetales bacterium. RNAcentral's name for it is "tRNA-Leu". It matches the Rfam family "tRNA". From Rfam's summary of the family: Transfer RNA (tRNA) molecules are approximately 80 nucleotides in length. Their secondary structure includes four short double-helical elements and three loops (D, anti-codon, and T loops). Further hydrogen bonds mediate the characteristic L-shaped molecular structure. tRNAs have two regions of fundamental functional importance: the anti-codon, which is responsible for specific mRNA codon recognition, and the 3' end, to which the tRNAs corresponding amino acid is attached (by aminoacyl-tRNA synthetases). tRNAs cope with the degeneracy of the genetic code in two manners: having more than one tRNA (with a specific anti-codon) for a particular amino acid; and 'wobble' base-pairing, i.e. permitting non-standard base-pairing at the 3rd anti-codon position. The record is from RNAcentral. Lineage: Bacteria; Pseudomonadati; Spirochaetota; Spirochaetia; Spirochaetales.